GCAACAUCAGCUUUAUAUCUCUCGAUUUCUAUUCCUCACAAGAUCCAUUUAUAUCCACUGGUUUUAACAUCAUAUGGCGUCUUAAUCAUAUGGCCAAAUACACCUUUCUUCCUUAAACUAGUUAACCCUACGUUUCCAUUCAAUCCAAUCUGUUCUACGAGUGCUCACUCUUAUAUUGACGUGGGUUCAUGAUCCUCGCUUAUAUUCCUAAAUUCAAAUGUUACCUUGUAUGCAAAUAAAUCAUCUUAUGUCGACAUUCCUUAUUGGUUCCAUUAUAUU
Molecule: long non-coding RNA, 279 nt
Filed under: Brassica napus (rape)
Lineage: Eukaryota; Viridiplantae; Streptophyta; Magnoliopsida; Brassicales; Brassicaceae
Description: long non-coding RNA (BNAP_LNC014151)
Source: RNAcentral